UACGUAGGGGGCGAGCGUUGUCCGGAGUUACUGGGCGUAAAGGGCGUGCAGGCGGUGCGGUAAGUUUAGGAGUGACAGUCUUCGGCUUAACUGGAGAAGGCCUCUGAAAACUGCCGGACUUGAGGGCCAGAGAGGGACAUAGAAUUCCGGGUGGAGUGGUGAAAUGCGUAGAUAUCCGGAGGAAUACCAAAGGCGAAGGCAGUGUCCUGGCUGGCAUCUGACGCUGAGGCGCGAAAGCUAGGGGAGCGAACAGG
RNAcentral lists this ribosomal RNA (254 nucleotides) under uncultured bacterium. Its description in RNAcentral is "partial 16S ribosomal RNA". It matches the Rfam family "Bacterial small subunit ribosomal RNA", at positions 524 to 776 of the family's 1533-position model. The record is from RNAcentral.